RNAcentral lists this ribosomal RNA (990 nucleotides) under Leptolyngbya 'Albertano-Kovacik green' Es_Yyyyy00. RNAcentral describes it as "bacterial SSU rRNA". It matches the Rfam family "Bacterial small subunit ribosomal RNA", at positions 28 to 1060 of the family's 1533-position model. Lineage: Bacteria; Bacillati; Cyanobacteriota; Cyanophyceae; Leptolyngbyales; Leptolyngbyaceae. The record is from RNAcentral.
GAUGAACGCUGGCGGUAUGCUUAACACAUGCAAGUCGAACGGAACCUUUCGGGGUUUAGUGGCGGACGGGUGAGUAACGCGUGAGAACAUGCCUAUCGAUUGGGGACAACAGUUGGAAACGACUGCUAAUACCGAAUGUGCCUUAGGGUAAAAGAUUUAUCGUCGAUAGAUUGGCUCGCGUCAGAUUAGCUAGUAGGAGUGGUAACGGCACCCCUAGGCUACGAUCUGUACUUGGUCUGAGAGGAUGACCAGGCACACUGGAACUGAGACACGGUCCAGACUCCUACGGGAGGCAGCAGUGGGGAAUUUUCCGCAAUGGGCGCAAGCCUGACGGAGCAAUACCGCGUGAGGGAGGACGCUUUUUGGAGUGUAAACCUCUUUUAUCAGGGAAGAAUCGAUGACGGUACCUGAUGAAUCAGCAUCGGCUAACUCCGUGCCAGCAGCCGCGGUAAUACGGAGGAUGCAAGCGUUAUCCGGAAUUAUUGGGCGUAAAGCGUCCGUAGGUGGCACUUCAAGUCUUUUGUCAAAUCGUGCAGCUUAACUGCAUACAGGCGGAGGAAACUGGAGCGCUAGAGUGCGAUAGGGGUCACAGGAAUUCCCAGUGUAGCGGUGAAAUGCGUAGAUAUUGGGAAGAACACCAGCGGCGAAAGCGUGUGACUGGGUCUGCACUGACACUGAGGGACGAAAGCUAGGGGAGCGAAAGGGAUUAGAUACCCCUGUAGUCCUAGCCGUAAACGAUGACAACUAGGUGUGGUUCGUAUCGACCCGAGCCGUGCCGUAGCCAACGCGUUAAGUUGUCCGCCUGGGGAGUACGCACGCAAGUGUGAAACUCAAAGGAAUUGACGGGGGCCCGCACAAGCGGUGGAGUAUGUGGUUUAAUUCGAUGCAACGCGAAGAACCUUACCAAGGCUUGACAUCCUGCGAACCUCUUUGAAAGGAGAGGGUGCCUUCGGGAGCGCAGAGACAGGUGGUGCAUGGCUGUCGUCAGCU